This 492-nucleotide ribosomal RNA is filed under the name uncultured bacterium. Its description in RNAcentral is "partial 16S ribosomal RNA". It matches the Rfam family "Bacterial small subunit ribosomal RNA", at positions 29 to 507 of the family's 1533-position model. The record is from RNAcentral.
AGUGAACGCUGGCGGUAUGCCUAACACAUGCAAGUCGAACGGCAGCACAGUAAGAGCUUGCUCUUACGGGUGGCGAGUGGCGGACGGGUGAGGAGUACAUCGGAAUCUACUUUUUCUUGGGUGACAACGUAGGGAAACUUACGCUAAUACCGCAUACGACCAACGGGUGAAAGCAGUGGAGCUUCGGACCUUGCCCGACUGAAUGAGCCGGUGUCGGAUUAGCUAGUUGGCGAGGUAAGGGCCCACCAAGGCGACGAUCCGUAGCUGGUCUGAGAGGAUGAUCAGCCACACUGGAACUGAGACACGGUCCAGACUCCUACGGGAGGCAGCAGUGGGGAAUAUUGGACAAUGGGCGCAAGCCUGAUCCAGCCAUACCGCGUGGGUGAAGAAGGCCUUCGGGUUGUAAAGCCCUUUUGUUGGGAAAGAAAAGCAGCAGGUUAAUACCCCGCUGUUCUGACGGUACCCAAUGAAUAAGCACCGGCUAACUUCGCG